This 148-nucleotide non-coding RNA is filed under the name Homo sapiens (human). The record is from Rfam by way of RNAcentral. Lineage: Eukaryota; Metazoa; Chordata; Mammalia; Primates; Hominidae.
GCUGGGCAUGGUGGCGUAUGCCCGUAAUCCCAGCUACUCAGGAGGCUGAGGCAGGAGAUUCACUUGAACCCGGGAGGUGGAGGUUGCAGUGAGCCGAGAUCAUGCCACUGCACUCUAGCCUAGGUGACAAAGUGAAACUUUGUCUCAA